RNAcentral lists this ribosomal RNA (167 nucleotides) under Phytophthora sp. 2-04B. Its description in RNAcentral is "partial 28S ribosomal RNA". The record is from RNAcentral. Lineage: Eukaryota; Oomycota; Peronosporomycetes; Peronosporales; Peronosporaceae.
AUGCUUUUCCUGCUGUGGCGUGAUGGGCUGGUGAACCGUAGCUGUGUGUGGCUUGGCUUUUGAAUCGGCUUUGCUGUUGCGAAGUAGAGUGGCGGCUUCGGCUGUCGAGUGUCGAUCCAUUUUGGGAACGUUUGUGUGCGCUUUCGAGUGUGCAUCUCAAUUGGACC